This 253-nucleotide ribosomal RNA is filed under the name uncultured bacterium. Its description in RNAcentral is "partial 16S ribosomal RNA". It matches the Rfam family "Bacterial small subunit ribosomal RNA", at positions 524 to 776 of the family's 1533-position model. The record is from RNAcentral.
UACGGAGGGUGCAAGCGUUAUCCGGAUUUACUGGGUUUAAAGGGUGCGUAGGCGGGUCUGUAAGUCAGUGGUGAAAUCUCCGAGCUUAACUCGGAAACUGCCAUUGAUACUAUAGGUCUUGAAUUAUCUGGAGGUGAGCGGAAUAUGUCAUGUAGCGGUGAAAUGCUUAGAUAUGACAUAGAACACCAAUUGCGAAGGCAGCUCACUACGGAUAUAUUGACACUGAGGCACGAAAGCGUGGGGAUCAAACAGG